Molecule: ribosomal RNA, 406 nt
Filed under: uncultured bacterium
Lineage: Bacteria
Description: partial 16S ribosomal RNA
Rfam family: Bacterial small subunit ribosomal RNA
Source: RNAcentral
AUUGAACGCUGGCGGCAGGCCUAACACAUGCAAGUCGAGCGAGCGGCUGACGGGUGAGUAAUGACUGGGAAACUGCCUGACGGAGGGGGAUAACUAAUGGAAACGGUAGCUAAUCCCGCAUACCAUGAGAUGUGCCCAGAUGGGAUUAGCGAGUAGGUGGGGUAAGGGCUCACCUCGGCGACGAUCCCUAGCUGGUCUGAGAGGAUGACCAGCCACCCUGGAACUGGGACACGGCCCCGAUUCCUACGGGAGGCAGCAGUGGCGAAUAUUGCACAUUGGGCGCAAGCCUGAUGCUGCCAUGCCGCGUGUGUGAAGAAGGUCUUGGGCUUGUAAAGCACAUUCAGCGGGGAGGCGUUACCCGCAGAAGAAGCACCGGCUAACUCCGUGCCAGCAGCCGCGGUAAUUC